UACGUAGGGUGCAAGCGUUAAUAGGAAUUACUGGGCGUAAAGCGUGCGCAGGCGGUUUUGUAAGUCUGUCGUGAAAGCCCCGGGCUCAACCUGGGAAUUGCGAUGGAGACUGCAAGGCUUGAAUCUGGCAGAGGGGGGUAGAAUUCCACGUGUAGCAGUGAAAUGCGUAGAGAUGUGGAGGAACACCGAUGGCGAAGGCAGCCCCCUGGGUCAAGAUUGACGCUCAUGCACGAAAGCGUGGGGAGCAAACAGG
This 253-nucleotide ribosomal RNA is filed under the name uncultured bacterium. RNAcentral's name for it is "partial 16S ribosomal RNA". It matches the Rfam family "Bacterial small subunit ribosomal RNA", at positions 524 to 776 of the family's 1533-position model. The record is from RNAcentral.